GCCGGUGUAGCUCAGUUGGUAGAGCAGCUGACUUGUAAUCAGAAGGUCGGGGGUUCGACUCCUCUCUCCGGCACCA
Molecule: transfer RNA, 76 nt
Filed under: Pseudogulbenkiania ferrooxidans 2002
Lineage: Bacteria; Pseudomonadati; Pseudomonadota; Betaproteobacteria; Neisseriales; Chromobacteriaceae
Also listed under: 7 other names
Description: tRNA-Thr
Rfam family: tRNA
About the family: Transfer RNA (tRNA) molecules are approximately 80 nucleotides in length.
Source: RNAcentral